Molecule: long non-coding RNA, 23638 nt
Filed under: Lactuca sativa (garden lettuce)
Lineage: Eukaryota; Viridiplantae; Streptophyta; Magnoliopsida; Asterales; Asteraceae
Description: long non-coding RNA (LSAT_LNC007874)
Source: RNAcentral
CCCUUUCUCCAAAUCCAGAGAUUUCUAAGGUCUCUGGUCUCUGAUCUUGGCAGCAUUGAUGCAGAACAAUUUGAUAGCUUUGUGGAUAAUCCACCCGAAGAGAUGAACCAAGAUCUUGAAGGAAUUGAAAACAGACAUCGAGGACCUACCGAGGAUCCUGAACUUGGGAUCAUCUUCUCUAAUGAAAAGGGUAGUUUGAAGCUCUUUUUCCGAUUAAAACAGAAGCAUCGCUGCAAAACGGAGUUCCUUGAAAAGAUGAUCAAUCUUACUUUAAGGUCCAAUGCCUCUGCAGCUUUAAAGGUGAAGAUCAUUGAAGAACUAGAGUGGUGGGUUGCGGUUCGUAAGUGGAUCACGAGAGUAACAGACUUCGUGACAAACAAGAUCUGGACAUGAAUGUCUUUUUUGCAUUGAAAACUCUUGGUAAGUAAUUUAAAACCUCAUUUCCUUGGCUUUCUGUAUUAAGUUGUUCUUUGUGCAUCAAGUCAAAAAUCAGGGAUAAUCACUAAAAUAAUACAAACAGUAUGGUCCAUUUAACAAUGUGACCACUUUUUUUUGACCCUUCAAACAAAAUGACCAUCAAAUUUGGCAAUAGGGUCAACUGUGAAUUGCAAAUUGCUUUAUGGUCCUCUGAAAACCAAAAACUAUAAAAAAAUAACUAAGAGUAAAUUACAUUUUCGGUCCGAGUAUAGCUUAGCUGAUAUUUUCAAUUUUGUUCCCAAAAAGUUCUGCAGCUUUGAUCCUUAUUUGAUAUUCUUGUAACGUUUUUGGCCCUUUUCCAAAUAAAAUGACUAUUUUUGGUUGAGUAUAGCUAGUUUUUGCAUUUUGGUCCCAAAAGUAUUUGGAAUAGAGACAAAAAAACAUUACAAAAGCUUCAGAUAAGUACUAAAAUUGCAAGAGAAUUUUUUUUUUUGACCAAAAUUGAAAAAACUAGCUAUACUUAGGGACCAAAAAUUUAAAAUACUCAAUAAAUGCAUAAUUAAAAAAAACCAUAUUUUGAAACUGUAAUGCAAAUUGUUCACAUUUUGCAACAAAAAAAAGGUUAAAAAUUAAAGCUUUUUGCAGCCUUUGUCAGUAAAAGUAACUUCACAACUGACCAUUGUUGUGUGUAGGCUUGCUGAGAUUGGAAGAUAUUGAACAUGAUAUCGUGAGUUGGAAGUUUACAACAGAUUCAUGUUGAUGAAGUUUGAAGAAGGGUGGUGAAGUAUGAAAGCUUCCCAAAAAACCACAACCUUUAGAUCAACAUUAUGUUCUUCUCACAAAUUACUGUGAGUAUCAAAACUUCGUUAGAAAUCACUACCCUUAGAUAUAAUCAUCAUAUUCAUAGCCCUUUAAAUUAUUAAGUAUUUUCAAAGUUAUUGUCAAAUGUAUUGUCUUUCUUGGAAGUUCAUAUCUGUACUUUUCAAAGUUGAUUGUGAAGUCAUAUAAAAGGUUAAAAAAUCUUAUCAAAUUUGAAGUUAACUUUCUUGUUGUAUUCAUUUAGGUUGAGAGAGGUGUUUAAUCUUUUCUGAUGCUACAUGUUUAUUUGGGUUGUGAUAUACUGAUAUUGAUAGGUAUGGAUGGAAUUGAUAAGGAAAUCUGCAAAGGAUCAUAAUGUUUUGAAAAUGAGGAAAGUCACAGGUUGCAAAUCAAGAAGAUGAAGAGAAAUGUGUUAUGUAUGAGAAUGUAUGAAUUUGCACAAAGUUAAGGUAUUUUGUGUUUCUUUUUCAUUAAUGGAGUAUUUAAUUCUGCUGUUUUCUCAAAUUAAUAUAAAACAAAACAGAAUUAAAAGCUAAUUCCCUGUUUUCCUCAUAGUCCCUGUGGAAAUUGAAUCAUCUCAACAUCAUAAAGCUCAAGGAGAUUCUCAGGGAAUUCUUCAUAUUUUAAUCCAUGAUAUUCUUUAUAUAUUUAUAAUUAGAACUAUGAUGAUUAAAAAAAUAUUUUAUCUUAUAUCUUGUAUGAUCUGGCUAUUAAGAUAAUUUCGUUUUUUUUUUUCUAUAUUUAAGUUUUGUGUUUCUCUCGAUAAAAACCCGAUCAAUUUUCAUUCAAUGUGCUUCCCCGACCAUAUUAUCAUAUGUAUAUAUUUUUAAAGUAUUUUUUUUACUGCAUGGAAGAAAUAUUGGUUGCACCGAAGAAAAUACCAACCCUUAUAUAUAAAAAAAAAGUCACCAAUUCUCUCUUCUAUCAACAUAAAGAAAUAUCAAUACUCUCUCAAUUUGACUACAAAGGGAUCCCUCACGAAACACACCACCACUUCCUAACUCAAUAGUUUAUGAUAUUUUUCCAAACUGAAUAGCAACAAUAUUACCCAUGUAUGCAAUCGCCCCCACGCCACUAGGUUUAACACCAUGGGGUACACAAUUUACUUGCCAACAUAAAAUUAUUUCCAAAUCCUCCGGGAAUACAAAUCCUUAUAAUCACCCUUAGGCCAUUGGGUAUAGGUGGCUUGUUUGCACGUAAGGAUCGAUGUGGAGGGCUUGUUCAUGCGUGAACACCGCUCCACCAAGAGCAAGUGUGACGCUGAUUGAUGUUGGUCACGGACGAUUACGAGCCAUUUGAUUGGUUAACGUGUUUUUUUGACCGUUUGGUAUUAAUUUUAAAAAAAAAUAAUUAAUUUAAAACUUCACCUAUAUACAAACACAUAACCACACAUCAAAUAUCUUACAACAAAUACACUGGACAAUAACAAUAUGAAAUUUUUUUUGGGUGUCAUUUCUUCUUUAUCUAAUGAUGAUGAGUUGAUUCUGUACACGUUGUUAUUUACGACACAUGACUUUGUACGUCAGGGAGGCGAAAGUUCAAAUGUCGAGAAGAAACCAAGAAAGUCGAUCAACCGGGAUCAUAUUGUGGUGAACGAACUUUUGGUACGUGAUUACCUUAGCUCUGAUAGUUUAUACGACCUAUCAAAAUUUGAAGGUCGUUUUCGUAUUAGUAGAAAUGUAUUCCUACGUAUAGCUAGAGAUUUGAAAAACAAUUAUGAGUUUUUUCAAUUGAGAUGAGAUAUUAGAGGUAAACGUGAUUUUAGUACAUUACAAAAAUGCACGACAACUCUUAGACAAUUGGUGUACGGCAUAGUCGCAGACGCUUCAAAUGAAUAUUUGAAAAUGUCUGCGAGGGCCGGUUGAUAAUGCACAGAUCUUUUUUGUGAGUAUGUUAUAGAACUUUACGGUGACAUAUACUUGCGAAAUUCGAAAAAUGGUGUCGAACAGUUGUAUGCCGCACAUCAGGCUAAACAUGGAUUUCCAUGAAUGCUAGGUAACAUUAAUUGUACACAUUGGGUGUAGGAAAAUUGUCCCAAUGCAUGGCGAGGCCAACUCACGCAGGGUGUGAUGGGUUUUGGUCCUAAGAACAUCCUAUGUGCUCAUACAAACCCUAAUGCUUGGAUCUAGGUUUCUCUAUUGUACAUGCAAGUUAUCCAAGACUAUAAACCCUAAUUCUUUCAUUCAAGUAAUCAUAUUGAUCAUGAGAAUAGGUUUAUAAUAUUACCUUGAUUGUUAUGUAGCAAUAACAAUCCCAAAUCUCCUUGUAUUGACUUUGGAAGGCUUAGAGUCACAAGUGUCACUCCUCUAAUGGCUCACAAACACCAUAAGCAAGAGGAUGAAGAGGAGAGAGGAUGGAGGCUGCCCAAAACGUGUUCUAACCCUAGAAGAGAAGUUCCCCACGUUUUUGAGCCUUAAGGGGUCUAUAUAUAGUGAGGCAAUUAGGGUUAUCUAACAAGGAAACCCUAAUUUGGAUGCUUAAGCCCUAAGCAACCCAUGGAGCCCUUUCCAUAAGGCCUUGGACGAUUUCAUAUGGGCUUGCCCCAUAGAAUUCGUCCACCUUAUAAUAAAAGGCAAUCCAUGGCCCAAAUUGCAAUUAUCUUAUAAUUAUAAUUCCAGUCCCUUAAGUUUAAUUAAUCUCUUUUAGUCACAAAACUAAUUACCAAUUAAUUAUUGACUAAUAUUAAUUAAACAAUAUGAUUUCUCCUUUAAUAUAUUAUUCCCAUAAUAUAUUAAUAAAUCAUAUUUAAUCCUUUCUCUCCAUAAUUCAUCCUAUCAAGUUGCUUUGGUGAAGGCAACCCAAAAGGACCAUGCACCAUCGGGUCAAGUACAUACCAAAAUAGUUAUGGACUUAGACACUAAUCCAACAGUCUCCCACUUGGAUAAGUCUAAUAACUAUUCUGCGUAUGACUUCAGAUCCUGAUCUGCAAUCGUAGCUUUCCAAAGCCGCUGUCAACUCUGAUCCUAUCAGAUACGCGUGUCCUUAGAUAAGGGAUCAUAUAUUCCUCCAUUCUAGAUAUCAUAUGAGAUAUGAUUUCAAAUCAUUCUCUUUGUACUAUAUCUCGAUUCCCGAUUUAUGACGACUGACUAAUUGAACAAAUCAAAUUAGCCCUAGCCCGGCCGAGCAUUUACGUUUGUCAUCACUAAAUCAUCGAGGGGCCCAAAGAUAUCGCUUUUAUCCUACUUUGGAUAAAAGGAACGGAUAAACUUUGAUACAAUGCUUGCUUGCACUCACUCACCGAAUCACACACAACAAUAUGUUUUAUAACACCAAGUUACUAGUGCGUUUACAUAUUAUCAAUGUGCAACCGAUUUGCAAGAUACAACUCACACAUCUCGGUUUCAAGAAUAUAAGAUGUUAUCGUCUCACCAAUCACUCGUGAUACAAUUCAUGGAGUGAUCCAAGUGAGCGUGGGUUUAAUCCAAUGCUCAAAUCAUAUUCAUAAGCACUCAUGAACGUUGCAGCAAACAUUUGCUUAUGUCUAAUACUCUUUAGACAAUCCACACACCAAUUCACGACAGUCUUCAUUCAUACCUACUUCCAACAUAUGAACGACUGUGGCCCGUUUGAAUAAUUUGACUGUUCUUAACCAAUUAAAUUAUUCAGGAAGUCAAAACAUGCAAAGUGAAACACAAGAAUAAUACUAAUCCCAUAUGGCCUCAAACCUUUGAGUAUAAAUAAAACACCUUUUAUUUAUCACCAUAUCGAUUACUCAUUAUUUGUCGUUUCGGGUAAUCAACUUCUUACUUGAAUUAUUACACUUGUCCCAUGCUCCUAGCAUGCACACAAUGUUUACCUAUGGUUCUUACUUUGUGAAAUAGAUCAAAUUGAACACAUUUCCAAUCAUUCUCAUUUCACAACUCCAAAUCCUUUUUCAUAAGUGAAAGAAUAUCAAAUUCUUGCUACUUAUAGAAUAUGCUAGAUUCUAACAUUUUAUGCAAUGAUCCUUUCGUAAUGUCACUGCACCAAAGUCACAAAGACUAUUGCCAAUGAUAUUACAAAGUCCUCUAUCGGAGAUUGUUACAAGACAAUUCCUUAGAUAUGAUGUCUCUCACUCAAAGUACAUUCCUUUGAACAUCCUUUUGCAUAAAAGUUUCUAAUCUAGACAUAGAUUUUCAAUAUUCAAUUCCCAAUAUGGACACGUUUCCAUAUUUUCCAUAUGACAACUCAUUCUUAAUAGAAUCUUAUCUAUUCAUAAUAAUGUCGAUAUGGUCCAUCCAAUAUGGAAACAUUUCCAUAUUUUCCAAUACUAUACUUCCAACUACUCACAAGCGACCAAUCCUCGUCGAACUUUGGAUUGUCCUUUGAUAGUUGUUUAAUUAUUUUAGUCAAAACCGAUUCUAGUCCUUUUUCCCUCUAAAUGCGCUAGACAUUUGGAAAAUUUUAGAAUGGUCAAACAUUAAAGCAUUUGCAAUCGAUCCUAUACCCGAAGCGUAUGGGACACGACGCAUAAUGUUUUAUUUGCUAUGUUCUCAAAAUUCGAAUUGUGAAGAGGAAUGCCGUAAUCAUAAUCGAAAUUUUAAGAACACACUAUGUACCUUUGACUAAAUUUAUUAACAUUUCUCAACCUAAUCCUUUAGAUUUGAAAUGAAGCAUAAUAUUCUCUCCCUUAAUUAUAGCAAAACAACUUUUCAACCCUUACGACUUUGCAAAGUAUAACUCUUGUUUUCUAUAAUUAAUAUUGCCAACUUGCAAUACUUGCCUUAAUAAUCAUACAAUCAUAACAUUUAUGCUCCCACUAUCAUGAUGAUUAUUAUAAAACAUAACACUUAUGCUCCCACUAGCUUCGACAUGUAUUCAUAAACAUCUUAACUUUCAGAAAAACAAUACUUAUUGAAUUUCUUAAGUUCAUGUUUCUAAUACUUAGUGCUUUGAUAAUCUUUUAUCAAGGCUUCUUGAACUUAUACACCUUUGCCUUCGAUAGUUCAUAUGUGUGUCUAAACAAUUAAGACUAAUUGCCAAACCUCACAAUUCAAAUUAUGGAAAGGGAUGCCGUAACCAUAAUUGAAUUUGAGAAUGCAAUUUUACAAUCACUAUCUUCUUAAAAUCUUUCUUAGUGAAAGCAUUUCCUCACAAUCAUUUUCAUGAAGGAGGAAAUCUUAUGACACUUAGAUUUAAACGGUGUAUGUGUUCCUAUCCAUGUGAAUUUGUUAAAACCAAAGUUUACGACAAAUUCAAACUCAUAUGGACCGAACUUUCUUAAUCUUGAUUUCUUGCCUUAUGGUAGCACAGCUGCCCACCAUGUCUUCCAAGUAGUUAAGCAGCUCACCUUUUCCUAUCAAUGUACCUUUCAUUGAUUAAGGUGCUUUGCCUUUUAUGCGUUCAAAAUGAGAACUCAUAGAACUCACAUGCAUAAUUAACUCGAUUGGAUUGGCACAGAAACAAAAUAAUGUCAACACGAUAGGUUGUAAACCUCAACUCGUGUGCUAGUGAUGAUCGAUAAGGUUUAUUUGAUUUGUUCUUGAAACCUUUCAAGACCAUUAAGACUCCCACUGACUCCUUGACAUAUAAGAUUCUCUUGUCAAUAACCAUUUCUUGACAAACAAAUAUUCAAGAGUUAGUGUAGCUUUUAUCAAAACACUUCAUAAAUUGGUCCUAGUUGGUCUUUGUCUUAUCCAAGACAUCACAACUUUCCACAUUUAAUGAAUGUUAUAAACCUUCUUAAUACCUUUCACUCAAUGUCACAAUCUUAACUUUAAGACUUGUUAUUGGAACGAAGUAUGAUUGACUUAUUGAUUUAACCAUUUCUUCAAUUCUUGAUUCCUCUUCUUAGACAUACAAUUGUACUAAGACUCACUUAGAGGAUCAAUUGAGAUAUGGUUCUUAAUCAUUAAGACCUAUCAUAAAGCAUAAAAGGUACUCUCCCUUCUUCUUAGAAUGGAGAAACUUUUAUCUUUCUGCCUACUUGAUUCUUCUUAUUCGUUCUGCUAUUGAUUUAAACUUUUUCAAUCAAUUCAGAAUUACACUUAAUCUUAUAAGUAUAAUCAUAUUUACUAAACCUUUAGUAAAUCAUGACGAAUAUCUUUGUUACUCUUAUGGUGGACUUGAUCAACACGCAACUUUGUGUACUCGAUCUCCUAGUCCUUCACUUGACACUUUGUCAAUGAAUUAGUCUAAUUUCCAAAUAUGAAAUUUCUCAUUCAUCGUGCAACCAAGUUGCAUGAUUCCAAGUUUCUGUCCAAUUGAAACUUGGGCGAUGAGAAACUCUCCCUAUUUGGUAAAUUCUCGACUUUCCAUAAAUAACAUAAUAAGAACCAAAUCCAUUAUUGCUAAUAAUAGAAACAUUUUAACAUCAAUUUUUCAUACACGCCAUUGUAAGGAUAAAUAAAUAAAAUUUAAAAUCAAAAUUUAUUUUAUUGCGGAAAAAUUUUUUCUUACAAUGCAAUUCAUUGAAAAACUUAUGCUAAUACAUCUUUCUUAGCAAUCUAAUUCUAACUCUAAGUAGUAGCUCAAGAAUCUAAUCUUCGAGAAAUGCGAUCGAAAUCCAUUCCUUCACGGUUAGAUUCUGCUCACUUCUUCCCUUAAGCUUCCUUUCUUUUCUUCGAUCCUACAAAACAUCAAUUGUAAUCUUAUCACAUUAUGUAUUAAGAAUCUAGAAUAGAAGCUUAAAAGAGUUAGUUAAUGGAUUUUACCUAAAUCAGAGCCAUACGUUUUGACUCUCCCAUCUCUUAGAUCUCUUAGGUAAAUAGGGCAGCUUCGUCUCCAAUGCCCCUUCUCUUGGCAAUAAAAGCAAAUUGACUCUUUUGGAACAGGACAUGGAACUACUUCAGACAUCGCCUUUCUCUUAUGAUCAAACUUUUCGAUCAUAGCAUGUCUUUCGUUGCCAUUGUCUAUAUCCAUAGAGGUCUUGAAGGCAGAUUCACCAAUCAACUUUGCUUUUCUAUUGCGCCAAACCAUUGCUGAUUCAGCAGCAAUAAGCAUAUAGGUGAGAUCUAUAAGGGUCACGUCGCGGUUCAUCAUAUAGUACUCUCUUACGAACUCACUAUAUGAGUUAGGAAGUGACUGAAGAACCCAAUCAACAGCCAUUUCCUCACAGACAACGGAUCCCAACAUUCUUAACCUAUCAAUGUGUGACUUCAUCCCUAGGACGUGUGCACACACCGACUUUCCUUCUUUAUGUUUACUUGCCAAAAGGGCUUGAGUGAUCUUGAACUUUUCAAGCCUUUGAACUUGUGGGUUAGGGAGAAUAAUUGGAGGAGGUGGAGGAAGUGAAGCAUGAUUUCUUGUUCCUCGAUCGAAUCGUGGAAUAUCAUCUUCAUGUGGAAUGCUUGUUCCACGGGAUUUGGGAAGACCAUAGUUGUCGAACUUUGACAUCUACAAAACGGGAGAAAACGAAUUCAAGUUAGUUGAUUGAUUGAGUCCUUAGUAAAUCACCCAAAUGAGAUACUAAGGCUAGGACCCAACACAAUAUUCUACAACUCGGGAGAGGGAUGCCGUAACCCAAAUUGCAGAACAUUUGAAGGUAAGUGAAUGACGAUUCACUAAUUUCCACCAUGAAAAACGAAAAAGAAAUUUAAGUUUUAAAUCUAUGAAAACUCCUAGAUCCUUUGAGAUUCAUUGAACAUUUCAAUGGCAUGUUUAAAUCUCGAUAUGCCCCUCUUGUUUGUGACUGGGAUGCCGAGGAUCACAAAGCGGGUGUGAAUAACCAUGCAAACUUACAUGGUGCCCUCACAUGUUACAGUCACCUAUUCGAUGUGCCGGUAAACCACACACGCUCCACCGAACUAUGACAAACAUUGAGUCACCCUUUGCUACCUUUGCUUAGAACCAUUUAGUGUGCCGGUAAACCACACACGCUCCACUAACGUCUUCGCAAGGGCACAAAGUGUAAUUUCAUGGAAUUGCAUCAAUUCACUUUUGCCUAAGUAACUAAGAUUGGGAAUUUUAUGAAAACAUUUAGUUACUUUUAUACUUCAUUAUACUUAUAAUGGAAGGUUUCGUCCUAUCCUACCCGUUCGGCUAACGACCCUCCACUAGUCAAGAGUGCGGUGGGUAAGAGUGGAUACCCAUUCAAUCGCCAUUUUAUAGGCAAUUUCCUUAAACACCCCUUAUAGACCAGCUUCGUGAAUGAGGCCUACUAACGGUAAGACUGACUUUUACUCAUACAUAUAUAUAAUGUUAGACUUUUAAUGUUAUAUAUAGUAUAGGGUGUAUUUUACACUUUUAAAAUACUAGGUGGUCAAAUUUAACAAUUAUACUUUUAAUUCAAUUAAAUUGUAAACCAAAACUUUUAUGGAUUUAUUAAACCUCUUUUAAUUAUACACCUUAAUUAAUUAAUAAAACCAUAAGGGUGUGAUUUGAACUUUUUCAAAACAAUACUAGAGUUUUAGAAUUUAACAUUCCUAAUUAAACUUUUAAUCAACUUUUAAAUUCCAAAACUUGAGGGCAAGUUUUGAAACAUUUCAACACAUUAGGGUUUAGAAUUUAAAUAUACAUCAAAAUUAAACUAUUUAAUCAAAAUUUAAAUUCCAAAACUUGAGGGCAAGUUUUGAAACCUUUUUCAAAACAUUAGGGUUUCAACUAUUUAAAUUUCAAAACAACAAAACUUUUGGGUUCAAAUUUAAACUAUAAAACCUAAAGGGGAAAAUAUGAAACUUUUCAUAACAACAAGGAUCAAAUAACAAAUAAUCUAAAUUAACAUUUAAUCACAUAAUUAUCCAUAUUUGAUUUAUUUAAUGAUUUCUUGCAAAACAAUUUAUCAAUUUAAUCAAAAUAAUUAAUCAAUUAUCACAUAAGGAAACAAUUAUCUUAUUAAUUGAUAAAUAUCUUCAAUUAGAUCAAGAAUAUAGUCAAAUAUAUCAUAAAAUCGGAUUUAUAUUGAUCUAAUAUGAUAAGGUAACUAUCCAUAAGCAAAAACAGCAAGAAAUCCCGAGAUAUGCUCCAUCUGACGAGUUGACUCGUCGAGUCAAGCUUGGACUCGUCGAGUCUGCAUGGACUCGGCGAGUUCAGCUAUGGACUCGGCGAGUCCAGCCUCCAGAAACCCAAAAAACGAAUUUUCCAGUUAUACAAUGCAUCAAUACAAUUGAAACCAAGCUAGGCUCUGAUACCACUGAUGGGUUUUGGUCAUAAGACAUCCUAUGUGCUCAUACAAACCCUAAUGCUUGGAUCUAGGUUUCUCUAUUGUACAUGCUUUGAAUCCAAGACUAUAAACCCUAAUUCUAGCAUAUGGAAAUCAAUAUUAACAUAUAAUUAGGUUUAAGAUAUUACCUUGAUUGUUAUGUAGCAAUAACAAUCCCAAUUCCUCCUUGAAUUGACUUUGGAAGGCUUAGAGUCACAAGUGUCACUCCUCUAAUGGUUCACAAACACCAUAAGCAAGAGGAUGAAGAGGAGAGAGGAUGGAGGCUGCCCAAAACGUGUUCUAACCCUAGAAGAGAAGUUCCCCACGUUUUUGAGCCUUAAGGGGUCUAUAUAUAGUGAGGCAAUUAGGGUUAUCUAACAAGGAAACCCUAAUUUGGAUGCUUAAGCCCUAAGCAACCCAUGGAGCCCUUUCCAUAAGGCCUUGGACGAUUUCAUAUGGGCUUGCCCCAUAGAAUUCGUCCACCUUAUAAUAAAAGGCAAUCCAUGGCCCAAAUUGCAAUUAUCUUAUAAUUAUAAUUCCAGUCCCUUAAGUUUAAUUAAUCUCUUUUAGUUACAAAACUAAUUACCAAUUAAUUAUUGACUAAUAUUAAUUAAACAAUAUGAUUUCUCCUUUAAUAUAUUAUUCCCAUAAUAUAUUAAUAAAUCAUAUUUAAUCCUUUCUCUCCAUAAUUCAUCCUAUCAAGUUGCUUUGGUGAAGGCAACCCAAAAGGACCAUGCACCAUCGGGUCAAGUACAUACCAAAAUAGUUAUGAACUUAGACACUAAUCCAACAGGGUGAUCAUGAUGUACCUACUGUUAUACUAGAAGCAGUUGUUUCUCAGGACCUCUCGUUUUGGCAUGCAUUUUUUGGUAUGACAGGGUCAAACAACGACCUAAAUGUGCUUGGAGCAUCUCCGUUAUUUAACGACAUUUUGCAGGGUAAAUCACCAAACAUGCCAUACGUUGUAAAUGGACAUGAAUACAAUUAUGCAUAUUACUUUGGUGAUGGGAUAUAUCAAGAGUACGCUAUAUUUGUCAAGUCAUACACAUAUCCGACCGAUGAAAAAUGUAAAUUGUUCAAGUUAGCAUAUGAAUCUGCAAAGGAAGGAUGUGGAGCGGCCAUUCGGAGUAGGGGUGAGCAUUUGGACCCGUGAAUCGGACCGGACUAGACCGUUUUUUUGGACCCCAGGGCCGGUUCUCGGUUCUAGGAUUUCAGCAAAACCGGUCUGGUUCGGCCGAUUCCGGGUAAAAACCGGUUUUCGACCGGCUUAUUUUUUUAAAAAAAAUUGUUUCUUGUAAAUUUUUUUAAACAAACAUAUCUCAUUCAUUUUAAGUUGGAUUGACAUGCGAGUUUUUCCGAUGUGUAAUUUAGAGUUUGUAGAUGAUUUUAGACUAUAAUUUUGUUGUUUUUGGUGUUAUAUUUGAUGAUUUACAAUUCUUCAAAGAUAAAAUAUCAAAGUUUCAGCAAGACGUUUAAACUUUUGUAUGUGAAAUUCUUUAAACAAACGUAUCUCAUUCAUUUUAAUUCGAAUUAACAUGCGGUUUUUUCUAACGUAUAAUUUAGAGUUUGUAGAUGAUUUUAGACUAUAAUUUCGUUUUUUGGCAUUAUAUUCAAUGAGUUACAAUGAUUCAUGUGAGAUAUCAAAGCUAAAAUAUUUCAGCUUUUCAACAAAAAAUUUUAACUUUUGUAUUAUGUGAAAUUCUUUAAACAAGCAUAUCUCAUUUGUUUUAAGUCGGAUUGACAUGCAGUUUUUUCUAACGUGUAAUUCAGAGUUUGUAGAUGAUUUUAGACAAUAAUUUUGUUGUUUUCGGUGAUGUAUUUGAUGAGUUACGAUCCUUCAAAUAUGAGAUAUCAAAACUGAAACAUUUCAGCUUUUCAACAACAUAUUUAAACUUUUGUAUUCUUUGAAAUUCUUUAAACAAGCAUAUCUCAUUCGUUUUAAGUCGGAUUGACAUGUGCUUUUCUUCAAUGUGUAAUUUAAAGUUUUUAGAUAAUUUUAGACAAUAUUUUUGUUGUUUUUAGAGUUAUAUUCAAUGAGUUACAAUCCUUCAAACAAAUGAUAUAAAGUAUAAGUAAUCACAGUUUUACUAGUCCAAAUGGCACAAUAAACGAACACGUAUUUAUUUUUAUGAGUUGUACCGUAUCAAACCCAAAAAAGUAUUCAUUUUAACGAGUUGUAAUGUAUCAAACCCAACAACAUAUUCAUUUUAACGAAUUGUAUCAAACCCAAAAACGUGUUUUAACAAGUUAUACCGUAUACAUAUAAAGUUGUACCGGUCCAAACGGGUCCAAGAACCAGAAAACGUAGACCUGGACCCGGUAAGUCUCAUCCAGUCCGGUCCACGGUCCACAAUAUUCUCCGAAACCGGUCCGGUCCAGUCCAAAUGCUCACCCCGAAUUUGGAGUCCUCAAAUAGAAGUGGCAUAUAAUCAAACAUUUAGCACGAGCAUGAGAUAGGGAAAAAUUGAUGAAGGUGAUGAAAGCGUGUGUUAUUUUACAUAACAUGAUCAUAGAAGAAGAGGGUAGUGCUAUCUGUACAUAUACUCAAUCCACCUGCAAUAAUACAAGUCGGCAGUCAACAUACUUUACAUGGCUUUUGGAAAUAUAAAACAGUGAAACACAUCACAAUCUACAUCAAGAUUUGACUAAGCACAUAUGGCAACAACGAUAUGAAGACCACAAUGACGAGGAGGAGGAUGAGGACGCGGGUGAUGAGAACGAGGCCGACGGUGAGGACAACGAUGACGUAGAGUAGUAUUUUUUUAUUUCAAUGUUUUAUUAAUGUUUUUAUUAGUAAAAUGUAUGUUGAAUUUUAAAAAUAUUAUUUUUAUUUAAGUUAAUGUUCUUUUAUUUAUAAAAUAUUUAUGUAUGUUUAAUAAUUGUGUUUUUUAUUUAAUAUAAUGUCAAAAUUAAAAAAAAAAGAUAAAUAAUAUGGAAUAAUAACCAUUUCCAAGGGUUAGUGAACAUGUAAUGAAGGUGAUGUGACGCAUAGGUGACAUCACUUUUUUAGUGGACAUCUUGUGACCAUACCCCUUAGCCUUAUCCCAUCCUUAAGUGUCAACCAUAUUGUUACCUCUAUUGCAAACACAAUAUAAUCAAGAUGUGAUGGUACAUUGGUACUUGAAACACAAAUGGAACAACCAGAGGGAAGGGGAACCAUAAACCAAGAUAAAAAAAUCGAAAGCAAACCAUAAUGGUCAGGCUCAUCCUAGAAAGUGAUCUCCAAAAGAGGAGGCGUUGGCAACCGCCAACAUUGACUCUAACGAGGAUUAAAAAGAGGGAAAAGUUAAAAAUCGUAUAAAUUUAUUGGAACACCGUUGAAGAAGAAUUCUAUGAAAUCAUGGAAACCGAAGAAAAAUUCUAUGAAGUCAUGGAACCGAACGUAUCGGAUGAAACAUGAUCAAAUGAGUACAAAGUUGAAAUUUUUGAAUGUGAACAUGCCAAAGUUUUAUGGCAUCUACAACUACUUAUCUCUGAGUUAAAAAAUGGCGGAAAAAUGACAACGUGGUCUUCAAGACUCCACAGGAAUACCGAUUUGACAAAUAUGUUGUCUUUUUCGCAAAUAGAACCAUAUAAUAUCAUAUUUUCAUUUAUAAAUUAAUUUUAAUUAUUUUAAAAUAUAUAAAUUAAAUAAGAAAAAUGAAAAGUGUGGACAUGUGAGAAUGUAUGCCUUGAAAAUUGGUGCAUCUUAGGGAGAGGUUGGAAUGUAGGGAUGUAAUGCAUGUAUGUCUAUAGCUUAAUUACCUCAGACUAGAUGAAGUGGCACGAUGUCACCUCGAUAAUUGUUGAGGUGUACUUGGUGCGUAAAUAGAUUUUUUUAUAUUGUUUUUUAUUUAAUUGUUAUUUUUAUCCGUGUAAUGUUUUUUAUAAUUGAAAUAUUUCUUUUUUAUUAUAUUAAAUAUUAUAUAGAUAUUAAAUUAUAACUUUAUAUAUUUAAAUAAAAAUAAAAGAGUGAUAGUAGUGACAAUUUAGUAUUGGAAAAAAGAAGGAUAUAAAUUUUAGGGGGUAAUUUUAAAAUUUAGACACAAAAAAACAGUUUUCGGCUAUAGACAUAGGUUCCGCGGAGCUCCCCUGUACGGGCUCCGCGAAUUGACAAUAGCUCCGCGUAAUCGGGGUAUUUUCGUAAAUUUCCCCCUCAGCAUCCCUUCUCUUUUGUAAAAUUGGGCCUCUUUGGUCCCCCCUGCUCCCUCGAUCGACAUCACUCCGCAUCUCCGCAUGGAUAGCAGCCGUCGACAACAACCCCUUCUUCUCACAUCGACAACAGAUGGAUCGACAGUUCCCCAACAUUAUCGCCGAUGGAUACGACUCUCGGGUAAUCUAUUUUCAUGUUCUUUAGAUUAGUGUUUUUCUUUUUUGUAUUGUUUAAAUUUAUGAUGAAAAUGGUAUGAAUAUGAAAUUCAAAACCUGCAAGUAGGAAUAAAUGGAUUUGAAAUUUAAUUGCAAUGGCGAAGAUCCAUUCUGCAGAGGGAUAGGUCACUCCGCAAAGGGUCCUCCGUGAAGUGACCUAUACCCUCCGCGGAAUGACCUAAAAUUCCCAUUUUUCCCAUUUUUUUGCCCUUUUAUAGCAAUUAAUUUCAAAAUGACCCUUUUAAUAGAAUAAUAUAAUUGGGUAUUUAUUAAUUUUAUCAUGUAAAUUGAAAGUACGUUCCUAUUUAUUGCCUUAAUUGAAUUUAAUAAGUAAUUUUAAAACCUUGUUUUUAUUUUCAUUUACUAACGUGUGUUUUGUAGCACGAUGAUCUCGAACAAAAAGUUAAUUUAAUUUUAAAAGGCGUGGUCGGUAUAAUCAUUAAAGACUAUUUUCUACGGCUAACUCAAUCGCAACGAACAUUAUUUGAAGCUUCACCAUUUGGAAGAUUCUUAGGAAUGCAUGUCUCCAAUGGUGACCCUGUACUCGUGCAUUUGAUGAUGUUGUAUGAAGUACGGUCUCAGCAAGUGUUUGGAUCGGGGAGGUUUCUGUUUGAGAUACAGCGGGUGCAGUUGGAUUUUGGUGAAACGGAGUAUAUUUUGAUUAGUGGGUUAAGAUUUGGUCCUUAUGUCGAUUUACUCCAUGACGAAAAAGGCCGGUCAAAUUCAAAUCUUCGAGCUCGGUUGUUCCCAUAUUUUACAGAUGCAUAUUUGCGGUUCAAAGAUUUAAAAGAGUAUAUUAUGUCUCCGAAUUAUCUGCAAAUUCAGGAUGAAGAUGCGGUAAUGUUUAUCUAGCUUGUUUUUAUGUUGAAAUGUCUCCACGAACGGGACAUUAAAACGUGCAUUCCCACGGCAAUAUACAAGCUUGCAAAUAAUAUAUAUGAUUGGAACAUGUAUUACAUUUAAAAAUUGUGUAUAAAUACAAAAAUAGUUAUAAUAAAUAAAUUGAAAAUUGCAGGUUUGCAUGAGGUAUAUAAUUCUGGACCUAUACUUCGGGGUUGAUGCGUUGAAUGUUUGAGAAAAUAGAAAAAUUUAAACUAUUUAAACAGGUCAAUCCCGAAUCGACGAAAAUACACAAGUAUACCGUUCCCGGUUUUAUGCUUCCGUUCGAGGUUAGUUUGUAAUGUAAAUUUAAAUAGUUAUCAUACUUUCGUUUUUUAUACCAUAAUAGCAUUGUACUUUCGUUUGUACUAUAUAUAAUACCGUUAUACUUUCAUUUUUAUACUAUAAUAGCAUCAUAUUUCCUUUUUUUUCCAUAAAUAUGGAUUUUGGAUACGUUCCCAGAGGUAACACAAUAUUAUUUUCACAUGCCGACAGAAUUGCUACGGAUGAGGUCGUGGGGAAGAAAAACACAAUUAUUUUGAGUUCGAUGUCGUCGAAUAAUCAACGUGUCUAUAGUAUGGUUUUUUAUAUUAUAAUUAUAUAUAGUUACAAAUUCCAAUGUUUUUUCAUGUUAAACUAACAAUCUGAUUUUUGUAGCCUAACAACCAGCAUGUUGUUGUCAUGACAACCGAGAUGAAGAUCAUGGAGCCGUUUUAUAUUAGCUAUGUGAAUUGGACUCUUAACCAUGUAGAAUCUCCCCCAUAACAGGAAAGUCCACCACCUAUUGUUGCGCCGCCUCCUCGGAGAAAGAAGUACAAGGCAAAAACGUCUUCGACUGAAACGGACACAAGUGUGUCUACCUCGCACUAGCCUCGAGUAGAAAGAAGUCAUAUGUCAAACGACACAUCAACAAGAUUAGUAAAGAAGAAGAAGACGAGCACAAAGACAUUAAUGAAGCAUCUAAUAGGCGUUGUGGCUGACUUAACUUCUAAAGUAGACCGUGUAUUACAGAAAAAAGAUAAACCACAUACAAGGUUUAGUGGUGGGGAGGACAUGGUAAAUGAAGAGGAAGAAGAAACAUAUUACCAUGGCACGGGGAUUAAUUAUGAUGAUACAUUUAUGCAUAGUUUGGAUGGGGAGUUUGGGCCUGCAACUACGGGGCAAUAUGUUAAGCCGUCACUAGAGGUGGUUCAACAUCACAAAAAAACAGUCACUCCUAUUGUUAGGCUGCAGUGAACGGAGGGUCUUUCACUGUAUCAAUGGACACCGCUCACAGUGGUAUUAAUCUAAUCUAAAUUUGGUGUAUUUAUAUAAUAUUACGUUGUCGAUAAUUAAUUAACAUUUUAAUUUUUUAGAGACAAAAUUGAAAAAAUGGUCCAUGUGAUAUGCAAAUUUUGGGGUUUUAGUCCAAACCCCGAGUUUUUUGGAUUCAUGGUCCUCAUAAUCUCUUGAUAUUUCAUUAGGCCUCCAAACUUUUGAAUGAGUUUUUCCCAUAAUCUCAUGCAAUAUACUACACAUGAAAUUUUUAUUUGCGUGCUUACGAUUUGGGUGUAUUUGUAAUGACGAACAUGUGUGCACGUUGUUGAAAGUCCCGAUUUCAAAUUCGUCAGUCCGAUCAAGUCGUUUUGCAUAUAAACGACAACUACAAUUCUAAAUUUUCACAAUAUACAUUGUAACGAUUUUUGUUAGAAUGUUUGGUCUUGCUUUAAGACUCAAAACAAAUAUUAGUUGUUGUUUGUUAUCAUACGUUUGACGAACAAACAUAUCAUCAUUUGGACCUAAACUGUGAAAUGAUCCAGGUUCAAGAAUCAGAUCAGGAUAAUCAGGUAUUGGAAGCAUACCGUAAAAGAUGUCUGAAGCUUUUUUUCCGUAUGUGAACUCAUCUUCUGACCAUCCUUCAUUUGAUUCUUUAUUGUCUGACAAAUUUUUGUCAGAUAGUCUUCAAAACUCAUAUAAAUUUUCUUAUUCCCCCGUAUUUACUGCCAUAGUUUCUUCUCCUGAACACUCUUGGACAUUAUCUAAUACAAUGUUGUCAACAUUGUAUGAUACAAUCUUGUCAACUACUUCUAUGUGUUCGACCCAUCCCUCAAUUACCUCCAAAUACAAAUGCACAAUCUCCUUCGUUUUAGACAUUACGUUUCUGAGUUGAUGAACAUCUGUUUCGUUUACAAUGUUCAUAACAUACUCAUGAUCCGGGUGUUGAAAUAACAAUGAUAUAUUACUAUCGAACAUAUUACCCUUAUUUUUAACCAAAUCAAACAAUAUUUGACGGUCAAAAUUAGGCGAAAGUAGUAAACCUAAGUUGUUAAACUUUGAUCUAACGCAUGUGUUAAUUCUAUUACUCAAUUGUCAAAACUUUCCGUGCAUAAAAUAACAAAACUCGUAAUUUCUUUGAAAAAAUUUCACCCUAAAACUGAUCGUUUUUUAGAUAGAACACAAAAUUUCUUCUAAAUGACAAAAAAAUGUCAAAAAAGACCAAACAAACACAUUCGCGGAGUGGUUAACUAAUCCGUGGAGACCGCAUCAACAUGCUCUACGGAGGGUUUAAUAAUAUGUUGAACCAAACACUCCCGGAGGGUUUAAUAUGUCCACGAAGCUCUCUGCGGUCCGUACGAAACGUCUAAAAUGGUAUAAAAUUGAUCAUUUUAUGGUGAUUUAUGAUUCCAUGGAGCCUGUAGAGCACCCUUCCGUAGAAAGCAUGUCUGAAAUUUUGUUUUUUUUUUUUUACUAAAUUUUGAAAUCCAAAAAAAAAUGUGUCACACGAGUACGUCUCUACCAGCGAGUCAGCACGCCUCGUUCAAUUAUUAUGCACGCCGUUUAAAAGAAAAUAUUAUAUUUUCUUCGUCUUCCCCAAUUCUUUCAAAUGUUAGGGUUUUAACUCCCGCCUGGUGCUUCAAUUUCAGUUGAAAUUUACCUAAGAAACGACAUAUUCAGGUCAGUUCAUGAUCAAAUUCAACAACCUGAUUAUAUUAUUAUGUCUUGCGCUUUAGAUGCUGUUAAAAGACAGUCCGUCACUGUUCUCUUCCUGACCAGAAAUACAAUUUUUUUCAGAUCGGAACUCGUUCGUUCUCUUUGAUUCACUCAUGAGUUGAUUUAGAUUGCUGUUCUGUUCUUUGAUUUUUUCAAUAAACCGCCGUCAAAUCAUAAUGUAUUUGGAUCCUAAUACCAAUUUAACAUCAACAUUUCUCAUAGCUUACAUUGUUUUUCUUUUUAAGUGCUCGUCAAUCCUGAACUUGAAAUUAGUAGAUUAAACCUCAAAUAAAAAUGUACCUCCUAUGUUUGAAUGAUGUGAGCAUUUGGCUUACUGAUCUAAUCUCUUUCUCCCAAAGAGUAAGAACAUUUCAGCUAAAAUUUUUGUCUUAAGGAUCCAGUUUACCAUCUGUCUCUUUAUAGGACUUAGGUGUUGUUUCUUUUUGACUUAAUGGACUUAAUAGGAAUCAAACUUAAUAGAUUCAGAUAUAUACAGAAUCGUUUCUUUUUUACUUAAUAUACAGAACAUGUCUGAACAGGCUAAGUGAAGAUAUGGACACUUUAUAUAUUUAGAUCCUCAUUUCCCAGUUAUACCCUUUUUAUUACUUCCUAAGCCUCACUACGUCUCCUUUUUUUUUUUUUUUUUUUUUUUUUCCUGCUGCAGCAAACUACUUCUAAUCUUCUAUAUAGAUAGGAGUUAUUAAAUUAAUGAAAAUCCAAUCUACACGUGAUCAUGAUAAUAAGUGAUGUUAUUCAAAGUUUUUCCAAAUAUGAAACUAUUUGUUUAAAUACUUAAGUUAAAAGGAGAACUAGGAAAAAUAUAAUUCAUGAUUUUAGUAUCAAAUAUUUUUAUCGUUCAUAUAUUUAGAACUAUAUAUUAAUUAUUUAGCUGAUAGUCAUUUUACUAUAAGAUAAAUAUUAUGUAUGAGGGUAUAAUGGACAUUUAUUCAUAUCCAGACAGUUUUUUGAUUUCAGAAAAGAAACAAGCUUACUGUAUACAAUCAGAUAUCAUUAUAAAUUCAGUCACGUUAUCCAUUCAGGCCUUAAUAUAUAUAAAAAUAGAAACAACCCCUUACAUGUCUUCCUUGAGUUACAACAAACUGUUGAUUUCUGAUUGUAUGAUUACUGUCUGCUUGUAUUCGCCACUGCUACAUAUUAUAGUUUUCUGAACAUUUUACAUUUGAGUACUUUGGUUGCCCAGUGUUCAAUAUGGAGAGCCGAGACAGAAGCAGAAGUCCUGGUUUAGCCGAGUGAUUCAGAAGCAAAGCCCUGUCUUCUUAACCUGAUGCACCUAAUUUCUCUCUUCAACAGUUGGGAUAUUUAACUGUCUUCUCUCUCGUGUGUUCAUCCCAUUCAUUCUAAAAUCCAAUUAUGGUGAUGACCAGGACAGGACCUUCUUUCCAAGAAGUCGCACUGCGUGUGGGUUCCUGCAAUCUCAAGGCAGACCUUGACCUGGGAAAGUUUGACCCUACUCUCCAUAUAAUGAUUGAGUUUCUAAAAAGUCACCCUAUUCACAAACCUUUGACUAAAUCAAUCGAGUUUCCUUUAAGCAUCAUUCAUACAGCAUACUCCAGUGCCAUUUAUGACUCUGAUGAAGAAUACAUCGAGUUCGACAUCAAUAAAGAUAACACUAUCAAACUCUGGAAGGCUGAGUUCCUAGAGGCCAUUGGGCUUCCAGAGAGAAAGGAAAAAAAGACAUUCUAUGAACCCACAAAUGAAGAACUUUUUGACGUAUUGGAUCAAAUGGGGUAUUUACCUCCAAGGCUUGAAAUGACCCCAGACUUCAAGAAAGGUAAGCUUCCAGGCAUUUGGCAUUUUUUGGUGCACAUCAUUGUACGUUGUCUCACAGGAAAGGUUGGAGGAACUAGCACACUAAGUAGGGCUUUUCUUGUACUUCUUUUUGGUAUUUACACUGGGAAGGAAGUCGACUUUGGAACCAUUAUCUGGAAGGAUUUUGCUGGUUGUGUGUUUCCAAGGAAGAAGGAAAUUCCUUGUGCAAGGUUUUGGGCACUUGCACUCCAAAAAGUGUAUACCAAACUGGAUGUCUCAUUACCUGAAGGAGAAGAGAUGUUCACUACUGGUACUGUAUCCCGAUAUGCUAUUCCAGAUCAAGCUGAAUUCGGGAAGGUUGCUCGUCUCCCUGAAGCAAUGCUUCAAUAUAUUGAAAAGAACUCUGAAGUUCUCAUUAGACAUAUAAAGGAAACAGAUCCUCUAGAAACUGGACACCCUAUCCAAUCCUCACAACCAGUUAGGCCUACUGAGGGACAUACUUCAAGUCCUGCACGUAAAAAACAAAUUGCUUUGAAUGUAAAGAAGACUACUGGUCUUGGAACCAAAAGAAAAUGUGAGACCCUUCCUGCCCCUCAAGCCAAAAGACCUACAAUCGGGUCACAGUCAUCUACCUCUCAUGUCUCUUUAUCCUCUGAAGAAGAUGAUGUCUCACAAAAAAAUGGGGAUAUAGCACAUACACCACCCCCUUCCUCUCAAAAGCAGACCCCAGGGAUACACUCACAUAUCAAUCUUGAGGCUACAGAGACAAGUCCUUCUUUCCACACUACCCGACUUGAGAAGAACUUAUGGGGAUCUCCUGGACAUAAUACUAAAGAUCAAGGAUCCCAAGGAAGAGUUUUUGAGCCUAUGCUGAAAUCAAGCUCAAUCCCAGGCAAAGAGUCUUGUUCUAUGGCACACCGACCCUUGCAAACAGGAUUCUUUGGAAUUUCCAUUGGUGAGGCGGAGGUGAGAGCAUCAGAGAGUGAGAGUGUAAGGCAAGCAAGAGAUGAACAAGAGAGGCAAAAAAGAGAGGAGAUAUUGAGAGCUGAGCAAGAGAGAUUUUCUCAGAUAUACUACAAUAAUAUAUACCUGUAUGAGCAAAUGCUAAGAGAGCAGAAAAUAAGAGACGAGAUGGAAAAGGAAGAAUCGAAGAAAGUGAAAGCUGUGAAACAUGCAGAAUAUAGAAAGAAAAGAAAAGAGGUUUUAAUGGAGAAUAAGAGGAAAGAGGAAGAGCUAAAAGCUAAGAUGCAGAGAGAGCAAGAGGAAAGAGAGAAAACUGAAGCUCUAAGAGAGGCUGAGGCAAAGAAAGAAGAGGAGCGAAAGGAAUUAGUGAGAAUGUUGCGUGAGGAGCAACAAAAGAGGGAAGAGGAAGAGUGGGCCCAGACUUCUGCCAAACUUCUUGAGCAGGCCAUGUCUUUGGAGCCAUCCACAAAGACUGGUAUGGAGUCUGCUCAAGACAUGGAAAAGGACUUUGUGUUUACUGCUGAUGAUGGACUCAUCCAAGACUCUGAUUCAAACUCCAUUAUGGAGACACUCAAACCCUCCAAAUCUACUAUUUUCUUGGCAACUUCAGAAACAGAAAGUCAGGAAGCUCCCAAAGGAGAGACAAAGACAUUUCCUACCACCACUGUGGAGACAUCCAAACCUCGCAGACGCACUAAAUGGAAGAAGAAGAAGAAAUCCAAAUAUAUCUCUAGGGUGGAGUUUAAUUCCCUCAACCAGAAGUUGUCUCAGGUUCUAGAGGUGGUAAACAAGAUCCCUCCAUCUAAGGAGAAAUUUGUGACCAAGGAAGAGUUUGGGGAAAUGCAGAAGAUUGUGACAUCCUUAGCCCAAAGUGUUCCUAAUCUUGAGACAAGGGAAAAGAUGCUUCGGGAAUCAUUUGUCAAAUCUACUGCAGAUGCUCUGAAGAAAAUGGAGCAGAAGAGGACCAAUGACACAUUUAAGUAUUUGGAUCGAAUGGAUGAUAUGUUGAAAAUGGUUAAGGAAAUUCAACAGUCCUUUGAUGAUCUCACCAACACCAUGGGCCACCAACAUGGGGAUGAGAUUGUCCGUUUAAAUGAGCAGCUUUGUGAUUAUCGCAACAAAAAUAUAAUUCUUCAGGCUGUUUUGGUUAAAGUAAUACAGUCUGCACAACAACUGCUAAGACCCUGCAACAUAAGAUUUGAUGAAAUCCUCUUUGCCAUCCAGAAAGUUCAAAAUUCUGUGGAUGUCCUUCCAAAGACUCUGUCCAAUGAUGAGCUAAGCAAACAGGUUCCACAAUCGUUCCAAAAAGUGUUUGACCUGAUAGAGAACUUAAAAGGUUCAAGGUUUGUAGAUGAAGCUGGAGAAGAUGAAAACGUGUUGAUAACAGAAACUUCUCCUUCUCCCGAGAUAGAUGUGGUAUCCAAACCUCAAUCACCUCCUCCACCUCUAAAGACCACAAUCCCUCCCACUGAAUGUGAGAUUCACGAAUCACCAAAAAUUCCAUCUCCUCCCACAUCAUUUGUCAUGCCUCCUGCCCAAAUCAUGCCAGAGUUCCCUGAAACCCCCAAAGCUCCCAUCAAUGAUAAAGGCAAAAUGCCUUUGGAGAUUUCUGAAUUGAGUCUGAUGAAAACCUUUCCAGUGUGUGAGAAAGAGAUGAAGCAACAGGUGAAGGAACACGCUUUAACUCUGUGGGUCAAUGACAUCAAACAAUUAAGGGAUGAUGAACUUGUGCCCAAACAAACUACAGCUCCUCCCUCUUCAGACAAGUAUCAGUGGGAUAUACCCAUGUCUCCAAAUGCACGAUAUUAUUCAGUCUUCCAACAACUACAUCCACAUCUCUCAAGGGAAAUGCAAAUCCCAAUUGAGAUGAACCGACUAGAGGAGUUUUUCAAGGCUCAUGCUCAGCCCCCAAAAGAUGUAUGGUCUCUCCGGAGGAUCAUAAGAGUCUUAGGAUAUAAGAAGAGGUCUUUUCAGAAGGAAGAGUACUUUGGUUUUGAAGUGGUGCGAAGCGAUAACAAAAAAUAUUUCUUCUCUGAAGCCGAUUUUCCUAACCUCAAUCCUAAUGACCUAUAUGUGAUUGCCAAACACUUCCAGACCAAACUCCUCACUCAUCAACCUUCACGAUUUCCCUUUCUCCAAAUCCAGAGAUUUCUAAGGUCUCUGACCUAUGAUCUUGGCAGCAUUGAUGCAGAACGAUUUGAUAGCUUCGUGGAUAAUCCACCCGGAGAGAUGAACCAAGAGCUGGAAGGAAUUGAAAACAGACAUCGAGGACCUACCGAGGAUCCUGAACUUGGGAUCAUCUUCUCUAAUGAAAAGGGUAGUCCGAGGCUCUUUUUCCGAUUAAAACAGAAGCAUCUCUGCAAAACGGAGUUCCUUGAAAAGAUGAUCAAUCUUACUUUAAGGUCCAAUGCCUCU